RNAcentral lists this ribosomal RNA (262 nucleotides) under uncultured bacterium. RNAcentral describes it as "partial 16S ribosomal RNA". It matches the Rfam family "Bacterial small subunit ribosomal RNA", at positions 90 to 354 of the family's 1533-position model. The record is from RNAcentral.
UUCGAGUGGCGGACGGGUGAGUAACGCGUGGUAACCUGCCUUACACAGGGGAUAACACCUGGAAACAGGUGCUAAUACCGCAUAAGCGCACAGGGCCGCAUGGCCCGGUGUGAAAAACUCCGGUGGUGUAAGAUGGACCCGCGUCUGAUUAGCUUGUUGGCGGGGUAGGGGCCCACCAAGGCGACGAUCAGUAGCCGGCCUGAGAGGGUGGACGGCCACAUUGGGACUGAGACACGGCCCAAACUCCUACGGGAGGCAGCAG